UGGAGUUCCGGCUGUAAUCCGUUCAUUUGUAAUGUGUACCAAGUGUGUCAGGUUCUCUAUCUGGUUCGUGACAGUAAGUUUGUUAGAUCAUCAAAACAUAAGGCAAAAACAUUAAAAACCCAUCAUGUACUUUAUUCAAUUCAAUUUAUAUGGCAUAAUUAGAGUGAGCAUGAAAUUUAAAAUAAAGAAACUUUUAAAAUUUGAUUGUAAAAUAAAAAUUUAUAAUAGUUAAAUCAUCAUAAUUAUAUUGAUUUGAUCCAUUUUUUUUAUCUUUGCCCAAAUUUAACAUAAUUUACCCAUUUUACCCUCAAACUACCAGGCUGCCGUCAGUUAUAGCCCCGAUAUUUUCCCCUGGUCUCCCUGCUAAAAUCCUUUGGUCUUCCAUUUCGUUAUAGCUCCAUGUCCAUGGCCACCCAAUUAUGUCCAAAUCAUGUAAUCUCAUAUGCAAAUUCUUUCAUCUGUCGUCGAAAUCGAACCACCAUUCUUCCAUUAUUCAGGUCGCUUCCGAGUAUUGAGUUCGGUAAACGGCGGGCCGCAAGAUUGUUAGUUCAAUGCUCUGAGAAACAAACAGAGAAUCUCCGGACGUGCAAGAAUUGCAAGACCCAGUUCGACCCUUUGCUCAAUCACCCUCGUGCUUGCUGUUACCACACUGCACAUUUUGGAGGUACCCUUCUCUCACUUACAUCUGUACUACCAUAGUUACUAAUCUCAUAAAAUAGGUAGAUAAAACCUCUAAUUUAGGUAAUUCCUAUUGUUAACUUAUCUCUUUUGUUUCUUAAGUAUCAGAUGUUCCGGUCUUUGGACAUUAUGGAAUAUGAAAAAAAAAAAAAAAAAAAAAUGUAUAACUGUUUCUAUGC
Molecule: long non-coding RNA, 857 nt
Filed under: Nicotiana tabacum (common tobacco)
Lineage: Eukaryota; Viridiplantae; Streptophyta; Magnoliopsida; Solanales; Solanaceae
Description: long non-coding RNA (NTAB_LNC014094)
Source: RNAcentral